Molecule: ribosomal RNA, 468 nt
Filed under: uncultured bacterium
Lineage: Bacteria
Description: partial 16S ribosomal RNA
Rfam family: Bacterial small subunit ribosomal RNA
Source: RNAcentral
GACGAACGCUGGCGGCGUGCUUAACACAUGCAAGUCGAACGGAAAGGCCCUGCUUUUGUGGGGUGCUCGAGUGGCGAACGGGUGAGUAGCACGUGAGUAACCUGCCCUUGACUUUGGGAUAACUUCAGGAAACUGGGGCUAAUACCGGAUAGGAGCUCCUGCUGCAUGGUGGGGGUUGGAAAGUUUCGGCGGUUGGGGAUGGACUCGCGGCUUAUCAGCUUGUUGGUGGGGUAGUGGCUUACCAAGGCUUUGACGGGUAGCCGGCCUGGGAGGGUGACCGGCCACAUUGGGACUGAGAUACGGCCCAGACUCCUACGGGAGGCAGCAGUGGGGAAUAUUGCACAAUGGGCGGAAGCCUGAUGCAGCAACGCCGCAUGCGGGAUGACGGCCUUCGGGUUGUAAACCGCUUUCGCCUGUGACGAAGCGUGAGUGACGGUAAUGGGUAAAGAAGCACCGGCUAACUACGUG